UUUCAAGAUGGCCGCUGAAGAGGAGAUGAUUUCGUCAGAUGUGCAUCUUUUUACACCAUUUUUCCAAAUAGAGGAAAACAGCAAAGGUAGGGCUUGAGUAUAUAAGCAAGAAUUGACUGUCGCUUCGAAUUUUCUUCCAAAUCAAUGGCAUAAGUUAGACAAGAGAGGAUAAAGUCUCAAGGGUGUAACCCGGUGUCAGACGAUUGGCUCCGCAAAUGUCAUGAAAACAGCCAAUCUAUUCAGAGCGAUCGUGGUGAUUACAGCUUCGUGGUAAAAGAAAAAAUGCAAUUGAGACAACUUUGGAAUCAGAGGAAGGGCAUUUACCAGGUUUACAAUAUACAAGUCCCCAGAGAAUACCUGUGCCAAUAAGAUGGAAGGGAGAAGUGAUUCCAUGGGUUGUUGUGAAACUGAUGAAGAUGGAGAUUUGUCACCUCCAAGAAAGUUCUCUGCAAGAGAUGACUGUGAAGUCAUUACAAUAGAACAUUCUCUUUCCACUGGGAUUAAAGAUGUAGGGCUACAGGUUUGGAGAGGGGCUCUCCUGUUAAGUGAUUUCUUGAUUUACAAUGAAGAAAGAUAUGAUGGAUGUUUUGGGUUGGAGCUUGGAGCAGGGCUUGGUUUAUGUAGCAUCAUAUUGGGAAGAGUGGCAAAGAGAAUAUUUUGCACAGAUGUGGGAGACACCAUUCUCGGCAACUGCAAAGCAAACAUAGCAGCUAAUUCUCAUCUUUUCAGAUAUGGCAGUGAAGCUGUUACAGUUCAUGAAUUGGACUGGGAGAAAAAAGGAUUACCCACUGAGAAUGAUCCUUUCUGUUGGACAAUGGAAGAUCAGAAAAUGUUUAAAGGCAUCUCUGUUGUGUUAGCGGCAGAUGUGAUUUACGAUGAUUCCUUAACUGAUGCUUUCAUUGAAACAGUCUUACAUCUUUUUGAACAAAAGCCAGACAUAGUCCUUUAUUUGACAAUGGAGAAGCGAUUGAAUUUUACCCUGAAAGAUCUUGCUGUAACCUGUCCAGCUUACUCCCAUUUUAUUGAGAGAAUAAAUGAACUGGAGAAUAAGCAGAAAACACUAACAGCAAGGAAACUCUCUAUGGAAUUUCCUAAGUACUUACAGUAUGAGAGAGUGAAGGAGCUGGAACUGUGGGAAAUUAAACCAACUUAACAUGAUGUUGAAAUGGAGUCUCUAAACAGCCACCAACCAAAGGAAGGCAUCUGAGCUUUGAACUGGUACAAGCUGAUGAUACCUUGCUACCUCAUGUCAAAGUCUGGGCACUCAAUUUGUGGUGUGAGCCAUGGCAGACAAGAGGAACAGUUUGCGAUCACACCUUUGUCCAAACAAAAUGUACUCUCUUUGCAUGUGUGGAGCCAGUGUAAGAAGAUUUUCCAUCAAUAAACUCGUGUAGGAACUCUGGGGGAAUUGGGGAAUUGAAUUAAACCAUCUUAAGCUGAUGUUGACGUAAA
Stylophora pistillata is the source of this 1452-nucleotide unclassified non-coding RNA. NCBI's taxonomy places the organism in Eukaryota, Metazoa, Cnidaria, Anthozoa, Scleractinia, Pocilloporidae. The record is from RefSeq and is a predicted model, not a curated record.